This 553-nucleotide long non-coding RNA is filed under the name Parus major (Great Tit). Its description in RNAcentral is "lncRNA (ENSPMJG00000013933.1)". Lineage: Eukaryota; Metazoa; Chordata; Aves; Passeriformes; Paridae. The record is from RNAcentral.
CAAACAGCAGCGUAGUCUCAGUGACCUAAUUUCCUGCCACUGUUCCUUCUCCUCUGAUAAUGGGGAAGAACACUGGUUUUUCUCCUCCUACAACUAAACAAACAAAGCAUGAAAUGAGUGGGAAUGUUUAAUGCCAAAAGCCCGCAGAAGGAGAGCUGCUCUGGACUGGAGACCUUUGCAAACAGAAGGAAAAUGCUCUUGGAGUCCACUAGAGGGUCCAGCUGGGAGCCCUGCAGUGCCCUGGUGCCUCACUUUUCUCACCUAGAAAAAUGAAAACAAAUGUUGCUGGUUUUCAUAUUGGACUUCAAAAUCAGAAAAGAAUUAGACAAGGAGGGAGAAGCCCCUGCAGCCGUGUCCCGGUGCUGCCGGAGGAGGGAUGCUGCCCGCACGGGGUGGGCAGCGGAGCCGGGACCUCCUCCCAGGUGAUGUUUAAGGCACAGAAAAAUCUCCUCAUGCCGGCGCACAAUGGCCACAUUGUAAAUCCGUCCCUUCCCAUCAUGUAGGACGUUGGGAUCGUUAGUUUUGGCUGGAAAUAAAAUAUAUAUUACACGCA